Molecule: long non-coding RNA, 264 nt
Filed under: Hordeum vulgare
Lineage: Eukaryota; Viridiplantae; Streptophyta; Magnoliopsida; Poales; Poaceae
Description: long non-coding RNA (HVUL_LNC015941)
Source: RNAcentral
UUGACUUUGCCACAAUGCUGCUUGGAUCAGCAGACAAAGACUUGGUGCUUUCUAGCCCGGAGUCGGUUAACUCUAGCAGGCGUCGUACGGCCGAGGUGUAUGACCCCAAAAGGAAGCAGGUCGUCGCAGAUCAAGGUGCUCUAUCUUUCAAGGCUACCGUCGAUUGUGGUACACCAAAUCCCAUCCUCUCAAACAGCUCAUCGAAAGAGGAUGAUGGAUAGAAGGCAGGAAUAGCGGGGUCGUCGCUCUUCCAAAGAGCCCCCC